CUUUUACCGUUGACUCAGGGCUCAUUCCCUCACGUCAUCAACCGUUUUAUUCUAAACAUUCAGCAACAUCUAAGAUUCUUAUGAUUGUCUUGCUUUAAAAGGUAAAAACAAGCAAGAGGAUUGAACAGGAACGACUUUCCUGUAACGUUCUUAGUAGGGGAAUUUUAGUGUUUCUGGCACAAAUCCCUAUUGUUCUCUAUGUUUCUGAC
This 209-nucleotide long non-coding RNA is filed under the name Mytilus galloprovincialis (Mediterranean mussel). Lineage: Eukaryota; Metazoa; Mollusca; Bivalvia; Mytilida; Mytilidae. The record is from RNAcentral.